AAAAAAAAUUGAGAAGGUAACUACGGACUUCAUUGGUCUAUUGUUAAUACAUAAUGAGACGAUACAGUGAAAGAACUCUCCAAAUGACAAAGCACUAUCUCCAUCUAAGAAUAUCGCUUCUGUUGCAUCAUAGUGAAGUAGUUCCACAGGUGUUUCUGCUCGGACUGACUGGUUCAAAUCUCGGCUGUACUGCCAGGAUUUAAGACACUUUGAAAAUGGGCAAAGCCUCAUUUUUCCUAGGUCAAAAGGAGUUCAAGAUUGGGGAAAUCUGAGGAUUCAGAAGGAUGAUAAAUGUUAGAACAUGGAAUCAGGGUGCUUAGAUUCUUGGUGCCUCAAUUUCUCUGUCAGUUAAAUGCCGUAUGAUCAAAUGACUCUUUUCUCAUUGGCUUGAUGUGAGAAAGAAAUGACUACAUAUAAUAAUCAGCAACAUUCCUGGCACAUAGUAAACAUCGAUGUAUUAUUAUUAAUACCUCCACCUACGCUAUAUACUGACUCUCUAUCCUCCCUCUCUUCCUCCUUCCCUGGAUCUUAAAAGAUGAGUGUGAUUAGAAACAAAAUUUUGUUGUGAUAAAGUCCACCUGAAUGUUCCCUCAGAUACUAACUAAAUCUCUUUCACAUGCAACCUUUGGACAAAAGUCUCUUCCUUUUUGCUAGGAAUUUUCCUAUUUUUCUCAUUUCUUCUCCUCCUGCUUUAGGAAAGAAAAAAAAAGCAUAUGCAAGAAUUAUUUUUUCUUCUCCCCAGAUGUCACCAGCACUAACACCUGUCCUAGUUCCAGCUCUGGUGAACUCCAGCAGACCUGCUCAAGUGGACAGCAUUAGGGACCUUGUCAGUUUUGCAGUGCUUUUUGCCUGAAGCCACCUCAGGUCCCUCAUGCUGCAGGUAUGCUGAGGGGCCUGGAGGUGACAGGCUGUUUUGCACCCAGGCACACUGAGGCCCGGGUGCUGCAGGGCUGUAAGGGUGGCCGUACUUUACUCUCUCCCAACUCCCCCACCCGUGUCAUUUUUAUUUGUACUUUAUAAAUCCUUUUCACUUUUGCAAGUUCCUUUUGGCCGCAAUCUGAAUGCAGUCCUGUAUGGGAUAAAGGAAUAUCAUAAGUAUAUAUUUUUUAAAACAGCAACACGAUUCAUGACUCUGUUGCAGAAUGUGAAGGAGCAAGUCUCUCAAUUGGCUAAUUGAAUCAAGCUCUGCAAUUUCCUUCUUCCCUGGAGCCUGAUCCUGCAGGACAAGGAUCUAUUUUCAAGUCAAUUACAAUUCCUAAGGGAUAUAAUUACCUACAAAAUCAGCAAAGGAACCCUAUUUCUCUUAUGGUGCAGAGCAAAACCAGUGUGGCUGGAAAGGAGAAAGAAGGAAAGGGGGCUUCAAGCAAGAUCAUGUGCAUUGUCAGACUUCAGAUCAUCCAAGGCCUUGUCCUGCCUUUCCGAAGAUUUUACAGAGACCCCUUUCUUCAAGUGAAAGGUUAUCAACUGUUGGUAGUAUGCUGCAUUAACAGACAACUCCUAUCUCAGUCACUUGCCACAACCAAGUUGCCACAACCAUCUUACUUAGGCCAUAUGUCAGCUGUAGCUUUUCUCCAUGUUGCCUUCCUUCCUAAAUCUAAGGCUAAAGAACCAACUUUCAUAUAGAACAUUGCCAGCCACUGCAACAGAAGGUAAAGAGACCUGGUGAGCUAUGGGCUGGCUCUUAAAAUGCCUAUAAGGAAGUGACACACAACACUUCCACCCACAUCCCAUUGGUCAAAGAAAGUGAAAUCAUUGAAAACUCCCUGCAGGCUAAAGUGUGCUCUGUUUUGCCUCCUGUCAGGUCCCCUGUACCUAUCAUGGUCCCUGGAAUAUGCCAGAUGCUUAAUAAUUAUUGAUUACAGGACCAGCUACAUCAUUCACAGGCCCAGUGCUAAAUGAAAAUGGGAUGACUUUAUUCAAAAAGUAGGGGGGAAAGUACAAUUAAAGUUACUCAAAUUAAAACUUCAUUCUUUCUUCUGUAGUCUCUCUCUCUUCUGGAUCUGUCGAGGUGGUUUUUAUAUUUGCUGUUUUUAUUUAUUAUUUAAUGUUGUACUUGUCCAGGUUUUAGAGACACUUGCUGAUGAGUACAGAUGUGAACAAGUGCCUGGGAGCCUGUAAAUUAUCCUUCCCACAGCCUUGAAAUCCAACGCUUUGCAAUGUGUUUGGUACCAAACACAUCAGAAUCAGGGGUGGCCAAGUCGUCUGCCAAACUCACUGUGGUGCUGCCAGCUGGGGACAGGGCAGCUGUCUAUUAAAAUUCUAUAAUUUUAAUAGAAUUAUAAUGUUCUGUUAGUUUUAUAGUACAUGUGUUGCCAACCAGUUUGUCAGUAAGAUAGAAAUUUACAUACAUGUACAGACAUUCACACACUGAGACUGAUUUAGCUCUCUGGUGAUGAAACCACCAAUACCAAGGCAAAUUGUGCCCUUCUAAUGGUGACACACCUCGGCUCAAGGGAUGGGAUGCACCAUAUGCUUCUCCCUCUCCUGGCUAUCAAGGAUGGCCUCUUUGAUGAUUGAGUUUUAUGGAAAAUAUUUGAAUAUCCUUGAAGUCAUUAUAUGCAGAAAUUGGAAGGCCCUAAAUCUAAAGGAGGGUAAUAUGUUAGACAGACAUUUAUUAAUAGAAUCAUAGAUCCUUCAGGUAUAAGGGAUCUUUAAAGUCGCCAAGCUUGAAUGUCUUUCUGCUGAGGAAUGGAAACCCACAGAAAUGACAAAGCUUAGGUUGCACUGCAGUGCAUUCCUACAGUCUUGACCAGAAUCCAGCUCUCCUGACCGUCCAUCAAAUCUUAAAUUGUUUUGAUUUCUUGUUAUGUUUUUCUUCUUCUUUGAGUGUUUAAAUUACUUUGUUUCCAGUCUUUAUUACAAGUGAUAGAAGAGGAUAAAUCUCUUAUACUGUUUGAGAAAGUUAAGUUACAUGAAAACAUGAAACCUAGUUCUUUCCUUAUGAUUACUUAAAAGAUUUUAAAGUAAUCUGGUCUAAGUAGGCUUAUUUACCUGAAAAAUAAUUGAAUUUAAACCCUCUGAAUCAUGUCCUCUUCAAUAAAAAAGCACUGUGUAAUAUACCUACUAAUAAAAGAAAUAGAUCCCAAUAGUUAAAUUCAUAACUAGAAACAGAAUUCAUAACACUAAUAAACAUCCAUUUUUUUUAAAAUUACCUUAA
Homo sapiens (human) is the source of this 3157-nucleotide long non-coding RNA. RefSeq lists it as uncharacterized. The record is from RefSeq and is a predicted model, not a curated record. NCBI's taxonomy places the organism in Eukaryota, Metazoa, Chordata, Mammalia, Primates, Hominidae. The transcript is spliced from 4 exons.